GGAAUAUUUGGCAAUGGACGAGAGUCUGACCCAGCCAUGCCGCGUGCAGGAAGACGGCGUUAUGCGUUGUAAACUGCUUUUAUACGGGAAGAAAAGGCCCAUGCGUGGGACAUUGCCGGUACCGUAUGAAUAAGCACCGGCUAACUCCGUUCCAUCAGCCGCGGUAAUACGGAGGGUGCAAGCGUUGUCCGGAUUUAUUGGGUUUAAAGGGUGCGUAGGCGGGAAUGUAAGUCAGCGGUGAAAGUUCGGGGCUCAACCCUGAAAUUGCCAUUGAUACUGGAUUUCUUGAGUGUCGAUGGGGUGCAUGGAAUUUAUGGUGUAGCGGUGAAAUGCAUAGAUACCAUAAGGAACACCGAUAGCGAAGGCAUUGUACUUAUCGAUAACUGACGCUGAGGCACGAAAGCGUGGGUAGCGAAC
This 417-nucleotide ribosomal RNA is filed under the name uncultured bacterium. RNAcentral's name for it is "bacterial SSU rRNA". It matches the Rfam family "Bacterial small subunit ribosomal RNA", at positions 358 to 773 of the family's 1533-position model. The record is from RNAcentral.